This 248-nucleotide ribosomal RNA is filed under the name uncultured bacterium. RNAcentral's name for it is "partial small subunit ribosomal RNA". It matches the Rfam family "Bacterial small subunit ribosomal RNA", at positions 26 to 288 of the family's 1533-position model. The record is from RNAcentral.
AGAAUCAACGCUGGCGGCGUGCCUAACACAUGCAAGUCGAACGGGAAAGUGGAGCAAUCCAUGAGUAAAGUGGCGACCGGGUGAGUAACACGUGACUAACCUACCUUUCAGUGGGGAAUAACCUCGGGAAACCGGGGCUAAUACCGCAUAAUGUCUUCGGACCAAAGGAGCAAUUCGCUGGAAGAGGGGGUCGCGGCCGAUUAGCUAGUUGGCGGGGUAACGGCCCACCAAGGCAAUGAUCGGUAGCC